GGUGAGAUGGCUCAGCGGGUAAGAGCACCCGACUGCUCUUCUGAAGGUCCUGAGUUCGAGUCCCAGCAACCA
Molecule: transfer RNA, 72 nt
Filed under: Mus musculus (house mouse)
Lineage: Eukaryota; Metazoa; Chordata; Mammalia; Rodentia; Muridae
Description: tRNA-Ser
Source: RNAcentral